GGAUGUGCAGGCAAGCUGGCAGGGACAUCUGUCACAGUGCUGACGGCCAGUGUAGAUUUGGCUGGUCCAGCUGGCUGGGCGGGGUUCCUCCUUUCCCUUGGUGCUCCUCC
Molecule: small nuclear RNA, 110 nt
Filed under: Equus asinus (donkey)
Lineage: Eukaryota; Metazoa; Chordata; Mammalia; Perissodactyla; Equidae
Also listed under: 1 other name
Description: 7SK RNA
Rfam family: 7SK RNA
About the family: 7SK was discovered as an abundant small nuclear RNA in the mid-70s but a possible function has only recently been suggested. Two independent studies have found that 7SK RNA binds the CDK9/cyclin T complex (known as elongation factor P-TEFb).
Source: Rfam by way of RNAcentral